RNAcentral lists this ribosomal RNA (332 nucleotides) under uncultured bacterium. Its description in RNAcentral is "bacterial SSU rRNA". It matches the Rfam family "Bacterial small subunit ribosomal RNA", at positions 568 to 899 of the family's 1533-position model. The record is from RNAcentral.
AGCGUAGGCGGCGCUUUAAGUUAUAUGUGAAAUCCCCGGGCUUAACCCGGGAACUGCAUGUAAGACUGAAGUGCUGGAGUGUGGGAGAGGAUAGCGGAAUUCCUAGUGUAGCGGUGGAAUGCGUAGAUAUUAGGAGGAACACCAGAGGCGAAGGCGGCUAUCUGGACCAUAACUGACGCUGAGGCUCGAAAGCGUGGGGAGCAAACAGGAUUAGAUACCCUGGUAGUCCACGCUGUAAACGAUGAUUACUAGAUAUGGGAGGUACGACUCCACCCGUGUCGCAGCAAACGCAAUAAGUAAUCCGCCUGGGGAGUACGGCCGCAAGGUUGAAA